UGGGGAAUAUUGCACAAUGGGCGAAAGCCUGACGCAGCAACACCGCGUGAGGGAUGACGGCCUUCGGGUUGUAAACCUCUUUCAGCUCCGACGAAGCGAAAGUGACGGUAGGAGCAGAAGAAGCACCGGCUAACUACGUGCCAGCAGCCGCGGUAAUACGUAGGGUGCAAGCGUUGUCCGGAAUUAUUGGGCGUAAAGAGCUCGUAGGCGGUCCGUUGCGUCUGCCGUGAAAACCCGGAGCUCAACUCCGGGCCUGCGGUGGAUACGGGCGGACUAGAGUCCGGUAGGGGGAGACUGGAAUUCCUGGUGUAGCGGUGGAAUGCGCAGAUAUCAGGAGGAACACCGGUGGCGAAGGCGGGUCUCUGGGCCGGAACUGACGCUGAGGAGCGAAAGCGUGGGGAGCGAACAGGGAUUUAGAUACCCCUGGGUAGUCCACGCCGUAAACGAUGAGUGCUAGAUGUU
This 462-nucleotide ribosomal RNA is filed under the name uncultured bacterium. RNAcentral describes it as "bacterial SSU rRNA". It matches the Rfam family "Bacterial small subunit ribosomal RNA", at positions 355 to 824 of the family's 1533-position model. The record is from RNAcentral.